RNAcentral lists this ribosomal RNA (471 nucleotides) under uncultured bacterium. RNAcentral's name for it is "partial 16S ribosomal RNA". It matches the Rfam family "Bacterial small subunit ribosomal RNA", at positions 28 to 507 of the family's 1533-position model. The record is from RNAcentral.
GACGAACGCUGGCGGCGUGCUUAACACAUGCAAGUCGAACGAUGAAGCGGUGCUUGCACCGUGGAUUAGUGGCGAACGGGUGAGUAAUACGUGAGUGACCUACCUUUGACUCUGGGAUAAGCCUGGGAAACUGGGUCUAAUACCGGAUACGACCAAUCUCUGCAUGGGGUGUUGGUGGAAAGCGUUAUGGAGUGGUUUUAGAUGGGCUCACGGCCUAUCAGCUUGUUGGUGAGGUAAUGGCUUACCAGGGCGACGACGGGUAGCCGGCCUGAGAGGGUGACCGGCCACACUGGGACUGAGACACGGCCCAGACUCCUACGGGAGGCAGCAGUGGGGAAUAUUGCACAAUGGGCGCAAGCCUGAUGCAGCGACGCCGCGUGAGGGAUGACGGCCUUCGGGUUGUAAACCUCUGUUAGCAUCGAAGAAGCGAAAGUGACGGUAGGUGCAGAGAAAGCGCCGGCUAACUACGUG